CCUACGGGAGGCAGCAGUGGGGAAUUUUGGACAAUGGGCGCAAGCCUGAUCCAGCCAUGCCGCGUGUGGGAAGAAGGCCUUCGGGUUGUAAACCACUUUUGUCAGGGAAGAAACGGCUUUUUCUAAUACAGAGAGCUAAUGACGGUACCUGAAGAAUAAGCACCGGCUAACUACGUGCCAGCAGCCGCGGUAAUGCGUAGGGUGCAAGCGUUAAUCGGAAUUACUGGGCGUAAAGCGUGCGCAGGCGGCUUUGCAAGACAGAUGUGAAAUCCCCGGGCUCAACCUGGGAACUGCAUUUGUGACUGCAUGGCUAGAGUACGGUAGAGGGGGAUGGAAUUCCGCGUGUAGCAGUGAAAUGCGUAGAUAUGCGGAGGAACACCGAUGGCGAAGGCAAUCCCCUGGACCUGUACUGACGCUCAUGCACGAAAGCGUGGGGAGCAAACAGGAUUAGAUACCCUGGUAGUCCACGCCCUAAACGAUGUCAACUGGUUGUUGGACGGCUUGCUGUUCAGUAACGAAGCUAACGCGUGAAGUUGACCGCCUGGGGAGUACGGCCGCAAGGUUGAAACGUCAAAGGAUUGACGG
This 585-nucleotide ribosomal RNA is filed under the name uncultured bacterium. RNAcentral describes it as "bacterial SSU rRNA". It matches the Rfam family "Bacterial small subunit ribosomal RNA", at positions 338 to 916 of the family's 1533-position model. The record is from RNAcentral.